Molecule: microRNA precursor, 90 nt
Filed under: Chlorocebus sabaeus (green monkey)
Lineage: Eukaryota; Metazoa; Chordata; Mammalia; Primates; Cercopithecidae
Description: miRNA (ENSCSAG00000020134.1)
Source: RNAcentral
GUGCUUACAUAUGUGGGCUCUGGAGCCAGACUGCAUGGGUUUGAAUCCUGGCUCUGCCACUUACUGGCUGUGUGACCUUGGGCAAGUUCC